GCGGCCGUAACUAUAACGGUCCUAAGGUAGCGAAAUUCCUUGUCGGUUAAAUACCGACCUGCAUGAAUGGCGUAACGAGAUGGGAGCUGUCUCAACCAGAGAUUCAGUGAAAUUGUAGUGGAGGUGAAAAUUCCUCCUACCCGCGGCAAGACGGAAAGACCCCGUGGACCUUUACUACAACUUAGCACUGCUAAUGGGAAUAUCAUGCGCAGGAUAGGUGGGAGGCUUUGAAGUAAGGGCUUUGGCUCUUAUGGAGUCA
This 259-nucleotide ribosomal RNA is filed under the name Helicobacter pylori. RNAcentral's name for it is "partial 23S ribosomal RNA". It matches the Rfam family "Bacterial large subunit ribosomal RNA", at positions 1930 to 2188 of the family's 2925-position model. Lineage: Bacteria; Pseudomonadati; Campylobacterota; Epsilonproteobacteria; Campylobacterales; Helicobacteraceae. The record is from RNAcentral.